This 292-nucleotide ribosomal RNA is filed under the name uncultured bacterium. RNAcentral's name for it is "partial 16S ribosomal RNA". It matches the Rfam family "Bacterial small subunit ribosomal RNA", at positions 505 to 796 of the family's 1533-position model. The record is from RNAcentral.
GUGCCAGCAGCCGCGGUAAUACGGAGGAUGCGAGCGUUAUCCGGAUUUAUUAGGUUUAAAGGGUGUGUAGGCGGACGAUUAAGUCAGUGGUGAAAUCUCAGAGCUUAACUCUGAAACUGCCAUAGAUACUGGUUGUCUUGAGUACAGUUGAAGUAGGCGGAAUGUGUAAUGUAGCGGUGAAAUGCUUAGAUAUUACACAGAACACCGAUUGCGAAGGCAGCUUGCUAAGCUGUUACUGACGCUGAUGCACGAAAGCGUGGGGAGCGAACAGGAUUAGAUACCCUAGUAGUCC